AAAUAGCUGUGGCAAAACCAGAGAUUUUUCUAAUUGCAGGUGUCACAUUUGAAUGUUCAACUCUCAUCCCUCACAGAGGUGACCACUAUUAAAAGAUUCUUGUCUCAGGCUGGAAUGGUACUCUGACUCAAUAGGCGUAUUCGUUAUGUGGCUGACAUUAGGCUGGCUGGUUCUCACGAGACAGCCAGGCUUGAGAAAGAACAAAGCACAGGAGAGCCAUGAAACUCUUAAAGGGAUAAAAAUAAAAAUCUCCUUAAACUCUUUAAAAAAUAAUUCAAAAGAAACUUAGACAUUUGCUAGGAGAAAAACCAGUUGUCUGGCAAAAGCAAUGACGUUAACUGUUUACUUAACCUCUUAGGGCACUAUGGGACAGAUGGAUAAACUAGCAACUAGCAUGACUUGCUCAAAGAGCUAAUAUUUAUGCUGCUAAGAACUUGUAUUUCCUUUUGUGCAGAUAUACUAUUUUUUAAAAAGCCAGCAUAUUUGUUUUAAUUUAUGUCAAGAAAUAGACUACUUCAUAAACAAACUCUAGGCCUCUGAUGAACAGGGCAGUUAUCCCAAGUCACUGGUUACCUCUCCCUGAGCUGCUCCCAUUUCAUCCAAAGAACUUUUAAGGACUGCUUUUAAAGGAAAAAGAGACAAGAUUAACAGAGCAUUCCUCCACGUUGUCAUAUGAAGUUAUGUCUUGACUUUUGAUCGUGAAAUGGGAUUGUGAAGGCCAGGAAAGCCUUUAAGACAUGCUAGGAAAACAUGAUUCACAGAAUCGAGGCAGCAACCCCAGACCACUUGGUUUCCCACAAAGAACGACUGUUCCCUCCUCAGAGGCCAGAUAUCUGUCCUCAGCCAACCACUUUCUAAAUGACCACCAGGGAAGCCAUUUGUAAGAAUUCUCAUGAGCUCAAGGCUGUUAGUGCUUUUCAACUGAAGAUUAGGUUGCAACAGAAGACUGGAAACGCCAAUGUUCUGGCCAGGAAAGGAAUCUUCUUUUUAAAAAAAUCAUCUGGCAUGAAACUUGGCUGAGGUUACCAGGGUAUAGAAUGAGGUAUGUAAAGAGCGAGCACGGACCCUUCUCUUCUCUUCUUGUUUUCAAGUCUCUGAAUGAAUGAAUCCUAUUUUUUUAAAUAAAUCUUGUUUGUAUUUUAAUAGCAUCCUUGACCAGAAACACAACAUAAACUUAGAGACCAAUUUCCAGGAAAUCUUAAAUACCUCUUAAAUAUAUACAUUUCCAAGUGCAAGUACUGGGAUCCCUCAGUUAUUGAUGGAAACAUUAACUUCCAGAUUCAAUCCCAUGCUUUUUUAUCACUUAUAAAAGCCCUGCUCUCUUCUUUAUAUAUAAACCCGAUGACAAAGGACCCUGGCACUAGAUGUUCUUCUAAAUUCAGCUUAGUUACCUGUGGAAGGAAGGGAUGGGUAUGCCAUACACCCUUGCAUGUUGUCAAUCUGGCAACCAUUAGGAAAGCCACUGAGGGAGACAGACACCUGCUCUGUGAUGAGGAACAGUCCUUCUUUGUGGGCAAUGAAAUGACCCGUGCCUGAUUCAACCUGUGAUUGGUCUUAUAGGUUCCAUGUGUUACUCCGAUGUCCCCCAAACUUCCUUGGCAUUCGUAAUCCCAGUCCAUGAGCUGAAAGUAAAAAUACCAAGUCGUCUGAUAAAAUACCGGCUAUAUCUAUCUCAUAAUUGGUUUUCUCCUUUCCCCUUAAAAGUUCUCCUGGGGAGGAUGGGAGGGAGCAGCUUUCAGAGAGAUGAGCAGAUGCCGCUCUGUAUAAAGAGAUCAUUGUUCGUAAGGUGAAGGUCCCUAUAAAAGAGGCCUGAGGAAAGGGAAGCACAGGGAUACACACCCGUAACCUUAGCACUGGGAAGGCUAAGGCAGAGAAGGAUAGCUUGUGUGCAGCCAGCCUGGAUUACAGAAGGGAGACCUUGCUUCAAGAAAGAAAGAAAUCCUCAAAGCCUAUGCGCUCCUUCCUGUGCUUGCCCUCGCCACAUCUCUCCCCAAACUGCGUGAGCAUAUGCGCAUGCGUGCGCGUGUGCCCAUGUCUAGUGUUGGGAAUCAAAUCCAGGGAUCCAUGUUCCGUAAUAUCUGCUAUACUCCCAGCCCCAGCUGAGGAAACUAGAAGGAAAUAGCUAUAGAACAGAAAUUAAGUUUCACAGGAAACACAAUUUUCUAACUGGCAUAUUUGGACUUUCUAGCAAGGAAUACAUUUCCACUGUUACAUACCUCCUCGCCUAAGGCAUUUUGUUUCAGCAGCAGAAGCAGGUCAAGGUAUUCUGGUCUUGACUCACCACUCAUCUGGAGCAUCCUUGCUAUGAUUAUCAGAACCGUCUCCAGACAUUCUCCCACUGCUUAUGUAAACUAAGAAUAUGCACACUGCGGUGUUUAACUAUUUGCAAAUGGCAUCUAUAAAUUCAGUCAUUUGUUGAUAAGAGAGGAUGGUUAAUCUCAGGCCCAAGCCUUGACAAGUUGGAUUCAGUUCACACUUUGACUACAAUUGUUUGCCUCUCCGAUUUUGGAAGAUAAGUGACUACCUGGGUCUUGGCUCUCUCUUUGUAGAGUCAGCCUAGUUACAGCUUCUAUGUGACCUUUUGGGGUAUAAUUUGUAUAAUGGCUAAGUGACACAUAGUAUAUAUUUAGGAAAAAAUACUGCCACUAUUGCUAUCAUAUCUCCCCAAGAGUCUAGUAAAAUCUGUAGGGUUGCAAUAGAUAUUUUCAUUGAUGAUUGUGACAGAGGUAAGUUCCCAAGGGACAAGAAUUUUUGUCCCUUUCAUAUGUUGGUAGGUACCUAGUCCAAAAAUGACAUCUGGCACACAGGACAUUCAGUAAACAUUAGGUAAAUGACAGUGACUCUUUUCAUCUUCUUUUAUUUCAUGUUAUUAUUUUAUUUGCAGUAAUGUGGAUCAAGCCUAAGACCCUGCACACGAGAGGCAAGUGCUGCACCACUCUCCAACUCUGGACGACUUUUGAUGUGGCCAGGUAUUGUGCGGCCAUGGGUGAUCACAGCCGACUCCAGAGGCCUAGGCAAGAGGACAGAGAACUGGAGGCCUGCUGUGGCUACACAAAUACCCAGCUUCCAAAAAUAUCUUUUAAGCAUCAGAAUGAAUGAGCCCACAUCAACGAAGGUUCAGAUGAGAACACCGGCAGUGGAAAGACCGACAGCAAAGCCAUGGCCAUAAUCAGAAUAACAUCAGAAUGGAAUUGGAAGAGAUUUGAUUGCUCACUGCUGUCUCCUUGAAGAAUCUCAAACAGGAGUUCAUGCAUUAGGGCUCGAGAGAUGGCUCAACAGUUAAGAAAACUGGCUGCUCCUGCAGAGGUCCUGAGUUCAAUUCCCAGCAACCACAUGGUGGCUCACAACGCUCUCGAGGGGGAAUCUUAUGCUCUUUUCUGGCAUAUGAACGUAUAUGCAGCAGAACA
Molecule: long non-coding RNA, 3407 nt
Organism: Mus musculus (house mouse)
Lineage: Eukaryota; Metazoa; Chordata; Mammalia; Rodentia; Muridae
Product: predicted gene 13596
Exons: 3
Source: RefSeq, a predicted model, not a curated record